RNAcentral lists this long non-coding RNA (302 nucleotides) under Phoenix dactylifera (date palm). RNAcentral's name for it is "long non-coding RNA (PDAC_LNC015590)". The record is from RNAcentral. Lineage: Eukaryota; Viridiplantae; Streptophyta; Magnoliopsida; Arecales; Arecaceae.
UGACAAAACACUGAGUAUAUGCAAAAUUUGAAAAUUAACAUACACACAGUAUUUGCUCAGUUUUACAAUGUGCAUUAAUUCAGAAUAUUCAAUUUUCAGUUCUUUCCUUAUGCAUAAGAUUGAUCUUAAUAGCUCUUAAGUAAAUUUAGCAUAUCAACUUAAAUUGAAUCAAGUUAAAAUGAAAUAUUGAUGCUAAAUAUAAUUGAGAGCAAAAUUUAGCAAUUAUCUUAAAGCCAAUAAGUAUGAAUUUUAAAUUUUGCAUUUCAUAUUCAAUAGUCAUAUUCAAAAUUCUAUUCCCCCUU